RNAcentral lists this ribosomal RNA (253 nucleotides) under Phocaeicola plebeius DSM 17135. RNAcentral describes it as "partial 16S ribosomal RNA". It matches the Rfam family "Bacterial small subunit ribosomal RNA", at positions 524 to 776 of the family's 1533-position model. The record is from RNAcentral. Lineage: Bacteria; Pseudomonadati; Bacteroidota; Bacteroidia; Bacteroidales; Bacteroidaceae.
UACGGAGGAUGUGAGCGUUAUCCGGAUUUAUUGGGUUUAAAGGGAGCGCAGACGGGUCGUUAAGUCAGCUGUGAAAGUUUGGGGCUCAACCUUAAAAUUGCAGUUGAUACUGGCGUCCUUGAGUGCGGUUGAGGUGUGCGGAAUUCGUGGUGUAGCGGUGAAAUGCUUAGAUAUCACGAAGAACUCCGAUUGCGAAGGCAGCACACUAAUCCGUAACUGACGUUCAUGCUCGAAAGUGUGGGUAUCAAACAGG